CGAAAUAUUUAAAAUUUUCUGACAUUCACAAUAAUUACAUAUAUUGAAAAGAGAUUCGAAUGUGUAUAUUUUUUUUAUUUACACCAACUAAUAAUCUAAAACUCUAAUAUACUAUUCCCUUUGUUUCAAAUAAUAUAGUUUUACAAUUUGACACAUGCUAAUAAAAAAAUAUUAAAUCUUAGUUAUAAAUGCAUAUUUUUGUGGUUUUAUAUAUUCCUACAAUUUUAAAACCAGUAAGAAUUCAAGAAAUGCAAUUAAUAUUUUUGAAAUUUUGAAUUAAUCGUUUUUAGUUGAUAAAAGGUAUCGAAAAUACAAAAAUAUAUAUUUUUGAAAAAAUUCUUUCCUCGAAAACAUACAGUUUUAUGAGUAUAAUUUAAAGUCUCAUAAUCCCAAAUAAAACUUAAACAUUUAAGAUUUUGAAUGUUACAAAAACAGGUGGACCCAGUAACGUUUUCAAAUUUACAAAUUUCAUUUUGUAAUACAAAAAAUAUUCACCUUCGAGUGAUGAUUAUUUAAAAGUAAUAGUAAAAAAACAUUUCUUUUGAAUAUUUUUUGUCGAGGAGAUUGAUUAUUCUUUGUCAUUGAUUCCUUACCUGCUACUACAGUUUUUUACUAUGCAAAAUCGAAUUACUUCUGAAGAUUGGUUAUGCAUAUUAGGACAUUCACAACCCCUUUAGUAUCGGGAAAAACACUUUUUUUAAACACAGUGGAGAAUCAAACCAUUUGAUUUGAUUUUAAAGAAAAAGAUAAAAUGUAACAACAUUCAUUCGACUCAUAAAUUAAAAUAUCAAUGAUCUUUCACUUUUAUUAAGCUUCAAACUUUUAAAAGAUGCAACAACGUCACUAACACAAACUCUACAAAUAAUAUGCUGUGUGCAAUUUAGAUACUAAGGAAAAAACUAAAAAAUAAAGUUACUACUUGUCUUCGCAUACUCGUUUGGGGUAGCUGGGCGUUGUGCUUGAUCUGCAUAGAAGAAAAAAGACAUAUACAAAUCCGCAAGGACAUGGUAAGAAGCUUAAGAUCUGCUGCAUCCAUCUCUUCAGGGCAUAUAAGACAUGCAUUCAUCCCAUCUUCACCUUAUUUCUUCUGAUUAUACGUCCUAUUUUUUCUACUUAAAUUGUGAUGAAUUGCCUUUUUUGGUGAAGCUUCUUGGUCGCACUUGCACUCGCCUGCUCUUCUCCAUACUGCAGAGAGAAGCAAUGAAUAUUGUUAUCUUUUGACAUUAGCACGAGCUGUUAAGGCGUGAUUCCAAAAUCGCCAUCUGGAGUUACAAAAGCUUUUGGUUUAUCAACGUAGCUAAGGAAUGUGAACACUUUAAGCUCCACAGACUCAGAUUGUACAAAGCUAACACAUACAAUUAUACAAAAUUACCUUCCUGGCACCCCAUAUCCGUCAAACAAUUAGCAGCCUAACAAAUAAAUUAAAAGAGCUUUCAUUAAUCUGUAAACAGACGCAUAUUACACAACGACCAUGAUUCAACAGCCACAAAGUAAACUUACCAAACCGCGCAUAGCAACUCAUAUAGAUAUUCAACGACCAUUUGCUAGGUGAUGUUGAACUUACCCUGUCAGUUUAGGAGAGAAUUGUCGAGCGUCAGACAAUUGUCUAAUUAGGUGUUCCCUACUGGACUGGUAGAACGAUGGAUUUUUUCCAAUUUGCCAAGGCUGAAUAAAAUUCAGUUUCAUUACAUAUUCUCAUAUAAUUGUUUUGUGAUCAUAUAUGUAUAUUCAACUUACCCAAUUCUUCUUUUUGUUUUCGUAAGUUAGAUUGUCUUUUAUUCAACUGAGACAUGUGUUUCACGAAAAUCAAAAGAGGUGGCUUGAGGUACUUCAGUAUGAGGAGGAGAGGGGCGGAUCUACUGCGUGGUCUGGAGGUGCUAUCUGGGAUUGUGGUCAUUCUCUUCAACCUCAUUCUCACCAAGGCUGCUUAGACUGAAGCAAGGCCCUCCACUCCUGAGCAGCGACAACCGUGCUUAACUGCGAGAUAUCUAAGGCUAAACCUAAAUCAGACUGAGCCAUGGAGAGCAAGGCGGACUCUUUCAGAAGAAGUUAGUAAAGGAAAGUGAAAACUGAAUAUCCCUUUGUUGUGGAGUUGACUAUUUUAGACGAAUAAUGAGAUUCUUGGGUUUGGUUUUGAAACAGGGAUUCUCUUGAGCUUGAGAAGAAGACACGAGCGACCAUGAACGCGGUAUGGAAAAGACCACAGAUCGCUUAAAUCGCCAAAUUGUGAACUCCGAGAAUGAUUGUCAACGUGGAGAUCAAAGCUAGAGCAGCAACUGCAGCUACUGAGGCGGAUUAAGGCUUAGUUAAAACCUUUACUUGCAAAACUAACUUAUAACUUUGUGAACCUGUUGAUGUAAGCCCCUAGAUUCGUUGCAAGUUAUGUAUGAAAACUCAGAUGAUGCUUUUUGCUUACGAAAGCCAUGGCAGGCCACCAGCACCCUGAAGCUAACGGUUCUCACCAGAGAGAAGAUGAGUUUUCGUCACUGGUGGAAAGAGUAUGCAGAUUGCAGCCAAGGCCCUAUACCACAAGUUGUUCCUAAAAAUAAAUCGAAUAAGCAGUUAACUGAAACUCUUUUAGAAGCUUAUGUGUCUUCUACUCUAUAUGAAGUUGAAGAGGAGAGAGUUGGUGUACCUGUUAAGCGUCGGCUAUAUGAGGAACCAUAAUACUGUUGGUGGACUUGGUGAGGAGGCAUUGUUUCCUGUAUACUGGAAUGGAGAUAGUUGGCCUGUGCUGAGAGUCCAGAAACUGUUACCGAUCACUUGGAACUUCCAUAUUAUAACAAGGUCUGGCGCAGAAGAAGGGACAAACCCUCUGGGUUUUUUUGCAUCUCAUAUGCAGAUUUGAAGGUUCCAAGAAUAUGUGAGAACUAGGCCAAGAACUGAAGAGAUCGUAAGAGCUCAAAUCAAGGGUUUGCAGAAGCGCCAAAUUGUAAAUUGAGAUGUUAUCAUUUUUUCCUUCUUUUUUUUUGUAACAAAUGAGAUGUUAUCUUUUCUUUUGUUUUAGUAUAUCAUUUUGGUCUAUGAUUUUUAAAUCCAUGUACAUAAAUUCAACUUAAUUUGAACGCCUUCCCCUCAUUAGUACGACUUUUACAAUGUUCGAUUAUUAUCACACACAAAAAAACUAAAUCUUUAGGCUUAUACAUAUGUUCUUCAUAUUGUUGGUCCUAAUGCUAAAAUCAGUAAAAACAAAUUUUAUAUGAUUAUGAUCAAAACAUGUCGGU
Long non-coding RNA from Brassica napus (rape), 3224 nucleotides. RefSeq lists it as uncharacterized. The transcript has 7 exons. Lineage: Eukaryota; Viridiplantae; Streptophyta; Magnoliopsida; Brassicales; Brassicaceae. The record is from RefSeq and is a predicted model, not a curated record.